UACGGAGGGUACAAGCGUUAUCCGGAUUCACUGGGUUUAAAGGGUGCGUAGGUGGGUUGGUAAGUCAGUGGUGAAAUCUCCGUGCUUAACAUGGAAACUGCCAUUGAUACUACUGAUCUUGAAUUUUCAGGAGGUAAGCGGAAUAUGUCAUGUAGCGGUGAAAUGCUUAGAUAUGACAUAGAACACCAAUUGCGAAGGCAGCUUACUACAGGAACAUUGACACUGAUGCACGAAAGCGUGGGGAGUGAACAGG
RNAcentral lists this ribosomal RNA (253 nucleotides) under uncultured bacterium. RNAcentral's name for it is "partial 16S ribosomal RNA". It matches the Rfam family "Bacterial small subunit ribosomal RNA", at positions 524 to 776 of the family's 1533-position model. The record is from RNAcentral.